Molecule: small RNA, 167 nt
Filed under: Chloroflexota bacterium
Lineage: Bacteria; Bacillati; Chloroflexota
Description: Chloroflexi bacterium Magnesium sequence
Rfam family: M-box riboswitch aptamer (ykoK leader)
About the family: M-box riboswitch, also know as ykoK leader is described as a metaloregulatory RNA that sense divalent metals and function as a genetic control element of genes related to divalent metal transport in bacteria. It was first reported upstream of the B.subtilis ykoK gene and genes with related functions in other bacteria. Phylogenetic analysis of the distribution of M-box RNAs across bacterial genomes revealed that M-box riboswitches are most often employed for the regulation of Mg2+ transporter genes
Source: RNAcentral
AUAGACCCUCGUUAGGCGAGGCGUUUGCUUGAGCAAAAGCCUCUGGUCCGAACCGUCGAGAGACGCCAAGGUAGUAUAAAAGGUGGGACCGAAUCAAGGUCUUGCUCAAUGCGGCUGGGAAGCUCCCUACGGUGGACAUUGCCAAAACUAUACCAGUGAGGUUGAUG